ACGCACAGCGAAAGGUGCUUGCACCUUUCAAGUGAGUGGCGAACGGGUGAGUAACACGUGGACAACCUGCCUCAAGGCUGGGGAUAACAUUUGGAAACAGAUGCUAAUACCGAAUAAAACUUAGUGUCGCAUGACAAAAAGUUAAAAGGCGCUUCGGCGUCACCUAGAGAUGGAUCCGCGGUGCAUUAGUUAGUUGGUGGGGUAAAGGCCUACCAAGACAAUGAUGCAUAGCCGAGUUGAGAGACUGAUCGGCCACAUUGGGACUGAGACACGGCCCAAACUCCUACGGGAGGCUGCAGUAGGGAAUCUUCCACAAUGGGCGAAAGCCUGAUGGAGCAACGCCGCGUGUGUGAUGAAGGCUUUCGGGUCGUAAAGCACUGUUGUAUGGGAAGAACAGCUAGAAUAGGAAAUGAUUUUAGUUUGACGGUACCAUACCAGAAAGGGACGGCUAAAUACGUGCCAGCAGCCGCGGUAAUACGUAUGUCCCGAGCGUUAUCCGGAUUUAUUGGGCGUAAAGCGAGCGCAGACGGUUUAUUAAGUCUGAUGUGAAAGCCCGGAGCUCAACUCCGGAAUGGCAUUGGAAACUGGUUAACUUGAGUGCAGUAGAGGUAAGUGGAACUCCAUGUGUAGCGGUGGAAUGC
This 641-nucleotide ribosomal RNA is filed under the name Leuconostoc mesenteroides. RNAcentral's name for it is "bacterial SSU rRNA". It matches the Rfam family "Bacterial small subunit ribosomal RNA", at positions 62 to 689 of the family's 1533-position model. The record is from RNAcentral. Lineage: Bacteria; Bacillati; Bacillota; Bacilli; Lactobacillales; Lactobacillaceae.